RNAcentral lists this ribosomal RNA (1548 nucleotides) under Sodalis-like endosymbiont of Proechinophthirus fluctus. RNAcentral's name for it is "bacterial SSU rRNA". It matches the Rfam family "Bacterial small subunit ribosomal RNA". The record is from RNAcentral. Lineage: Bacteria; Pseudomonadati; Pseudomonadota; Gammaproteobacteria; Enterobacterales; Bruguierivoracaceae.
UUUAAUUGAAGAGUUUGAUCAUGGCUCAGAUUGAACGCUGGCGGCAGGCCUAACACAUGCAAGUCGAGCGGCAGCGGGAAGAGGCUUUCCUCUUUGCCGGCGAGCGGCGGACGGGUGAGUGAUGUCUGGGGAUCUGCCCGAUGGAGGGGGAUAACUACUGGAAACGGUAGCUAAUACCGCAUAAUGUCGCAAGACCAAAGUGGGGGACCUUUAGGCCUCACACCAUCGGAUGAACCCAGAUGGGAUUAGCUAGUAGGUGGGGUAAUGGCUCACCUAGGCGACGAUCCCUAGCUGGUCUGAGAGGAUGACCAGCCACACUGGAACUGAGACACGGUCCAGACUCCUACGGGAGGCAGCAGUGGGGAAUAUUGCACAAUGGGGGAAACCCUGAUGCAGCCAUGCCGCGUGUGUGAAGAAGGCCUUCGGGUUGUAAAGCACUUUCAGCGGGGAAGAAGGCAAUGGCGUUAAUAGCGCCAUUGAUUGACGUUACCCGCAGAAGAAGCACCGGCUAACUCCGUGCCAGCAGCCGCGGUAAUACGGAGGGUGCGAGCGUUAAUCGGAAUUACUGGGCGUAAAGCGUACGCAGGCGGUCUGUUAAGUCAGAUGUGAAAUCCCCGGGCUCAACCUGGGGACGGCAUUUGAAACUGGCAGGCUAGAGUCUCGUAGAGGGGGGUAGAAUUCCAGGUGUAGCGGUGAAAUGCGUAGAGAUCUGGAGGAAUACCGAUGGCGAAGGCGGCCCCCUGGACGAGGGCUGACGCUCAGGUACGAAAGCGUGGGGAGCAAACAGGAUUAGAUACCCUGGUAGUCCACGCCGUAAACUAUGUCGAUUUGAAGGUUGUGGUCUUUGAGCCGUGGCUUUCGGAGCUAACGCGUUAAAUCGACCGCCUGGGGAGUACGGCCGCAAGGUUAAAACUCAAAUGAAUUGACGGGGGCCCGCACAAGCGGUGGAGCAUGUGGUUUAAUUCGAUGCAACGCGAAGAACCUUACCUACUCUUGACAUCCAGAGAACGAGGCAGAGAUGCCUUGGUGCCUUCAGGAACUCUGAGACAGGUGCUGCAUGGCUGUCGUCAGCUCGUGUUGUGAAAUGUUGGGUUAAGUCCCGCAACGAGCGCAACCCUUAUCCUUUGUUGCCAGCGAUUCGGUCGGGAACUCAAAGGAGACUGCCGGUGAUAAACCGGAGGAAGGUGGGGAUGACGUCAAGUCAUCAUGGCCCUUACGAGUAGGGCUACACACGUGCUACAAUGGUGCAUACAAAGAGAAGCGAUCUCGCGAGAGUCAGCGGACCUCAUAAAGUGCGUCGUAGUCCGGAUUGGAGUCUGCAACUCGACUCCAUGAAGUCGGAAUCGCUAGUAAUCGUGGAUCAGAAUGCCACGGUGAAUACGUUCCCGGGCCUUGUACACACCGCCCGUCACACCAUGGGAGUGGGUUGCAAAAGAAGUAGGUAGCUUAACCUACGGGAGGGCGCUUACCACUUUGUGAUUCAUGACUGGGGUGAAGUCGUAACAAGGUAACCGUAGGGGAACCUGCGGUUGGAUCACCUCCUUACCU